AGGGUAAAUCAUUAUGGUGAGCACAGAAUUAUUCUGGGGUGCAAUAUGACACUUACUCUGAACCUGAGGGAAAAGGUCAUUUAAUCUGUUUUAGCUCCAGAUGCCUCUUCUAUAACUGCUAUCUCUAAAAUGGAGAUAACAAUACUUUCUACCUCACAGAAAUAUUGUAAAGAUUAAAUGAGAUAAUGAAUUUGAACCAUUUAGCCCAGUUCCUGGAAACAAAUGUUAGCUCCUAACAAUAAUAAAAAUAACAAUACAAUGCCUUGCCACCUAUGAAAACUGCUAAGUGGUUCUGGAAAUUUACCAACCUGCUUUCAAGAGGGGCUCUGACUCCGCUCAUGGUACACUUGUUUGAAAUUUUUCAAAAAGAAUUUAUCUGUAUGCUUAAAUGCUACAAGCAUCACACUUGGGUACUCUGGCCAGCAUCCUUAAUUUUAGGCUGGUUCUAGGUGAACGAAGCCCAUGGCCUUGGUUAACUAUCACAGCAGAAAAAUGGUAAGAAGGAAACUCGAUUGGAAGGAAUCUGUCCAGAUGUUUAUUUCCCUUCAUUUAGGUCCAUAUAACAUAUAGAUCAAAUGCUCAGAGCUAUUAGGAGCAGAGAAAAAUGCCAGAAUCGAUGCUGCAACACAUUUUGCGUUCACCCUGAAUUAAUGCCUCUAUAUAAAUGUUGUUGCUGAUUUAACUUCUUGUUAACGGCCUUAAAUGUUUGACCCGUAUCUUUGCCUGCUUGAAUACAGGAAAAUCUACAUCAUGGAUUUCCCUGUAGAGUCAUGAGACAGGAAUGUGCAAAGCCAAAAGAGACAGCUGGGAAGUGUAGCAGAAGUGAGUGACCCUGCCCUUCUUGGGAGGUCAUCCUUGGAGAAAAAGCUGACACCCUCACAUCACAAAAUGUAACACCCUUGACGUCACGAUUUGUUUGGAUGCAAUUCUAUUUCAUGUUGAACCAUUAACAUGGAAUGGAAUAAAAUAGAAUGGCUAUAAUUUACUGAGUGCUUAAGGACAGUCUUUAUUAAAAGCAAUUGGAUUAAUAAUCUCUGAAUUGUCAUGAAUCUGCAAGUGUCCAGGAUUUCACAUGAAGAAGAUGAGAGAAGACAACUCAGAGCGUGGAGUGACUUCCCUUCAUUUUAAGUGAGCCAGUCCUCAGAAAAUUUCCUGGGUAUUAGUGUUUCUGCUCAAGACACGAGCUUAUUAGAAAUAAAAAAUAGUUUAUUAGAAAUAAGAAAUAGCUUAUUAGAAAUAAAAAAUAGCUUAUUAGAAUGAAAAUGAUGUUUAAAAGGACUAAUAACUUCUUAAGAUGAUGUAACUUUUAAUAGACAACAUGUCAACUGUGUUAGGUGCAUCUCUGUAAAAUAUUCUGAGAUGUGAAGCUUGUUAAUAAAAUUACAGCACAACUCAAUUUGACACAAAUGCCACAUGAUAUCAAAAAAACCUGAGAGCCUAUAGGACCAAGCAAAGUAUUUGUGCAGUACCCUUAACUAUUCAUCUCAUCUUUUCAUAUACAAACAAUACAAAUAAGAAGACUAGAGGAAAAUUAGAGAGCAAUUUCCAUUAGGGAUUGCCAAUAAAGACACAUCCCUGAUAGGAAAACAAAUCAAAACAAAACAAAACAUAUUCUGGUAUUUAAAGAGAAGUCCCAAGGAUGACAUUUUCCCUUGAUACGUAUCCUCAGCCACUCAGUGCUAAACUCUUUACCCCUGACUCGCCUCAGUAGUGAGACUUGGGUACUUCAUUAUUCAGGUCGCCUUUAUCAUCCUCCAGAAAGCUCAGGUUAGCAUGGGGGCAGGGGAGGGAGAUGUUCCUUAAAUGAAUGUCUGUGACGAGACCAGAAUUUGUGAUUAUACUUUGGUUUGAAGAAUAUCCAUGCAUCCUAUAAACACACUAUUGACAUAGCACCUACUUUUGUAAAGGUAGAGAUGAUACAGUUUUUGUAAAUGCUACUGUCUUCAGAAGGAUGAUGGAAACCUGAAGGUACUAUCCACAUCUAGCAAAUGUUAUCUUGGAAUCUUUUUCUUUAUAUCUUAUUCUUUUUCACCAAUAAGCAUGAAUCAUCUUCUCUUGCUGUUUCCUUUCCUUGUCUUUUUUAUUACAAAAUUAAAAAUUACUGAACAGUUGCCCAAAACACUGUAGAUUUCAUAUCUUGUUUGGGCUAAUUAUAUCAUCUGGCCUGCCAAAAUGGUUUCAUUAAUGAGCUUACAUUGCAGGAGCUUUCUAAUCAAUUCUUUGACACUAAAUGAAGGACCCCACCCAUAUUUAAGGAUCUGAAGCCUGAAGCAGAGAGCAGCUUCUAUGUGGAGGGUAGGUUGUUAGAGCUCUAGGCAAUCUGAUGCCUACAUCUCUCCCCACCUCUGCUGUUGUGGCUGCUUUGUUAUUACUUUGAAUUGUGGAAAGACUCUCUGUGGUUCCCCAGCCUCAAUUUUCUUCUUGGGUCCUAUGAUCUCAGACCUGUUGCUGGUAGUGGCUUCAAAACCAUUUGAGGAUUCCAUAUCUAUUCACAGACAAGGUGUUCCAGGCUACGCUAUGGAAGUCAACUUUGUGGGAUUGAAACGUUAAGCUGGAAUCCUUUCGACUUUUAUGAAUGCAAGAGCUUGUCAGGUAAGCAAAAGAAAAACAGGUGAAGAAACAGGAUGCCGUUGUAAGCAGUGAGCCGGGCUUUGGCGGUAAGAGACAUAGCCAUUAUGUGAGCACAGUGCAGACAAGGAAACAGAAGAGUUGUGAUUAUAGACUAGAGUUAAUCCAAACAAGAACUGUGUUAGAAUUUUGAAGGUUUUACCUUUUGAACACCAGACUUACUACUUUAAAUACAUAGAUAUAUUUUUAAUGAGCAUAUAAUCAAGAUUUCCCACUACUCAUGUUUACUGAGCAUUUGUCAGAUGUGAGGCAUUUUACUUUGUACUAUGGGGUUCUCAGAGGACUUGGUCCUUCUUUUCAACCAUCUUACAUUAAAAUGAAGAUGUAUUAGAAAACAAAUGCAUUCAUGACAUAAAAAUCCACUGAGCUAAUUAACAGUCAAGGCAAGGACGAAACAGAAAGAUGUGGUUGGGUUGAACUGGCUAAUUCUAGUACAGAUCUUGCUAUAACACAUGAAAAACUGAAGUAUAGGGAAGUAGAGCUACUGCUUCAAGCAGAGCAAUGAGGUUUUGAUAAUAAUUUCAAUUAUUUAAAAUUAAAUGAAUCAAAUAUAUGUAUUUUAAAGUUCAAUACAAUCCAAAGGUUUAGAAUUAAGGGUAUAAAAAAUAAAAGUAGAUCAAGAGCAAAAUAAUAAUUACAUCUUACCUAUAUGCUUAACAAACUUGACACAUGGCAUAAUUCAAAUGUAGACUUCAUAUAAUGUAUUCUGAUUUUAUAGCAAUAUUUCUCUUUAACAUGUACCAGAUUUUUCUUUAUGUGUCUGUUUGUAGUAAGUCUGUUUCUCAAAGUCACUUCCCAUUUUAAAAUUGAUUUAAUCAAUGAUAUAAUUUUUAAAUGGUGAGUAAAUUAUCUGCUAACAACACUAAAGAAUUUUAUAGUAGAUUUUAUAAUUUCUUGUAGAAUCUAGUAUUUUUCAUUAUAAUUGAACUUAAGUAAUUUAUUGUGUAAUUACUUGUUUAAUGCCUGUCUUAAUCCUACUAGAAUAUAGGUUCCAUGAAGGUCCAAGUCUUGUCUUAACACUUAGAAAAGGGGUCUCCAAACCCGUGGCCAAAGGCCAGUACUGGUCUGUGGCCCGUUAGAAACUGGGGCCACACAGCAGGAGGUGAGCAGCAGGUGAGCAAGCAAAG
RNAcentral lists this long non-coding RNA (3755 nucleotides) under Homo sapiens (human). RNAcentral describes it as "HSALNT0378143". Lineage: Eukaryota; Metazoa; Chordata; Mammalia; Primates; Hominidae. The record is from RNAcentral.